GCGAAAGUGGCGGAAUUGGCAGACGCGCUGGACUUAGGAUCCAGUAGGGAUAACCUGUAGGGGUUCGAGUCCCCUCUUUCGCACCA
This 86-nucleotide transfer RNA is filed under the name Cloacimonadaceae bacterium (SeqCode). Its description in RNAcentral is "tRNA-Leu". It matches the Rfam family "tRNA". Rfam says of the family: Transfer RNA (tRNA) molecules are approximately 80 nucleotides in length. Their secondary structure includes four short double-helical elements and three loops (D, anti-codon, and T loops). Lineage: Bacteria; Pseudomonadati; Candidatus Cloacimonadota; Cloacimonadia (SeqCode); Cloacimonadales (SeqCode); Cloacimonadaceae (SeqCode). The record is from RNAcentral.